GAUGAAGAACGCAGCGAAAUGCGAUAAGUAAUGCGAAUUGCAGAAUUCAGUGAAUCAUCGAAUCUUUGAACGCACAUUGCGCCCCCUGGUAUUCCGGGGGGCAUGCCUGUUCGAGCGUCAUUUCACCACUCAAGCCUCGCUUGGUAUUGGGCGACGCGGUCCGCCGCGCGCCUCAAAUCGACCGGCUGGGUCUUCCGUCCCCUCAGCGUUGUGGAAACUAUUCGCUAAAGGGUGCCGCGGGAGGUCACGCCGCAAAACAACCCCAUUUCUAAGGUUGACCUCGGAUCAGGUAGGGAUACCCGCUGAACUUAAGCAUAUCAAUAAGCGGAGGA
This 332-nucleotide unclassified non-coding RNA is filed under the name soil metagenome. Its description in RNAcentral is "partial contains 5.8S ribosomal RNA, internal transcribed spacer 2, and large subunit ribosomal RNA". The stretch from base 1 to 120 matches the Rfam family "5.8S ribosomal RNA", at positions 35 to 154 of the family's 154-position model. The record is from RNAcentral.